RNAcentral lists this ribosomal RNA (997 nucleotides) under uncultured bacterium. Its description in RNAcentral is "bacterial SSU rRNA". It matches the Rfam family "Bacterial small subunit ribosomal RNA", at positions 356 to 1376 of the family's 1533-position model. The record is from RNAcentral.
GGGGAAUAUUGCACAAUGGGGGAAACCCUGAUGCAGCAACGCCGCGUGAAGGAUGACGGUUUUCGGAUUGUAAACUUCUUUUCUUAGUGACGAAGACAGUGACGGUAGCUAAGGAAUAAGCAUCGGCUAACUACGUGCCAGCAGCCGCGGUAAUACGUAGGAUGCAAGCGUUAUCCGGAUUUACUGGGUGUAAAGGGAGCGCAGGCGGACCGGCAAGUUGGAAGUGAAAACUAUGGGCUCAACCCAUAAAUUGCUUUCAAAACUGCUGGCCUUGAGUAGUGCAGAGGUAGGUGGAAUUCCCGGUGUAGCGGUGGAAUGCGUAGAUAUCGGGAGGAACACCAGUGGCGAAGGCGACCUACUGGGCACCAACUGACGCUGAGGCUCGAAAGCAUGGGUAGCAAACAGGAUUAGAUACCCUGGUAGUCCAUGCCGUAAACGAUGAUUACUAGGUGUUGGAGGAUUGACCCCUUCAGUGCCGCAGUUAACACAAUAAGUAAUCCACCUGGGGAGUACGACCGCAAGGUUGAAACUCAAAGGAAUUGACGGGGGCCCGCACAAGCAGUGGAGUAUGUGGUUUAAUUCGAAGCAACGCGAAGAACCUUACCAGGUCUUGACAUCGAGUGACGAAUCUAGAGAUAGAUUUUUCCUUCGGGACACAAAGACAGGUGGUGCAUGGUUGUCGUCAGCUCGUGUCGUGAGAUGUUGGGUUAAGUCCCGCAACGAGCGCAACCCUUGCUAUUAGUUGCUACGCAAGAGCACUCUAAUAGGACUGCCGUUGACAAAACGGAGGAAGGUGGGGACGACGUCAAAUCAUCAUGCCCCUUAUGACCUGGGCUACACACGUACUACAAUGGAUGUAAACAGAGGGAAGCAAAAUAGCGAUAUGGAGCAAACCCCAAAAAGCAUUCUCAGUUCAGAUUGCAGGCUGCAACUCGCCUGUAUGAAGUUGGAAUUGCUAGUAAUCGCGGAUCAGCAUGCCGCGGUGAAUACGUUCCCG